RNAcentral lists this ribosomal RNA (555 nucleotides) under uncultured bacterium. Its description in RNAcentral is "partial 16S ribosomal RNA". It matches the Rfam family "Bacterial small subunit ribosomal RNA", at positions 355 to 900 of the family's 1533-position model. The record is from RNAcentral.
UAGGGAAUCUUCCACAAUGGACGCAAGUCUGAUGGAGCAACGCCGCGUGAGUGAAGAAGGUUUUCGGACCGUAAAGCUCUGUUGUUGGUGAAGAAGGAUAGAGGUAGUAACUGGCCUUUAUUUGACGGUAAUCAACCAGAAAGUCACGGCUAACUACGUGCCAGCAGCCGCGGUAAUACGUAGGUGGCAAGCGUUGUCCGGAUUUAUUGGGCGUAAAGCGAGCGCAGGCGGAAGAAUAAGUCUGAUGUGAAAGCCCUCGGCUUAACCGAGGAAUUGCAUCAGAAACUGUUUUUCUUGAGUGCAGAAGAGGAGAGUAGAACUCCAUGUGUAGCGGUGGAAUGCGUAGAUAUAUGGAAGAAUACCAGUGGCGAAGGCGGCUCUCUGGUCUGCAACUGACGCUGAGGCUCGAAAGCAUGGGUAGCGAACAGGAUUAGAUACCCUGGUAGUCCAUGCCGUAAACGAUGAGUGCUAAGUGUUGGGAGGCUUCCGCCUCUCAGUGCUGCAGCUAACGCAUUAAGCACUCCGCCUGGGGGAGUACGACCGCAAGGUUGAAAC